GACGAACGCUGGCGGCGUGCUUAACACAUGCAAGUCGAACGGAAAGGCCCCUUUGGGGGUACUCGAGUGGCGAACGGGUGAGUAACACGUGAGUAACCUGCCCUUGACUUCGGGAUAACUUCAGGAAACUGGGGCUAAUACCGGAUAGGAAUCCUUGCUGCAUGGUGGGGGUUGGAAAGCUUCGGCGGUUUUGGAUGGACUCGCGGCUUAUCAGCUUGUUGGUGGGGUAGUGGCUUACCAAGGCUUUGACGGGUAGCCGGCCUGAGAGGGCGACCGGCCACAUUGGGUCUGAGGGGCGGCACAGGCUGCGACGGGAGGCAGCAGUGGGGAAUAUUGCACGAUGGGCGGAGGGCUGAUGCAGCAGGGCCGCGUGCGGGAUGACGGCCUUCGGGUUGAAGACCGCUUUCAGCAGGGGCGAAGCUUGUGGUGACGGUACCUGCAGAAGAAGCACCGGCUAACUACGUG
RNAcentral lists this ribosomal RNA (465 nucleotides) under uncultured bacterium. RNAcentral's name for it is "partial 16S ribosomal RNA". It matches the Rfam family "Bacterial small subunit ribosomal RNA", at positions 28 to 507 of the family's 1533-position model. The record is from RNAcentral.